UUUUGUGGUGGGCCCAUGGUGGAUGGAAGAUCUAUAGCUAUGGAUUUUGCUCCUUUUUUUUAGUAGUGUAAAUAUACUCACCAUUCUCCAUAAACUGUGUAGUCCUUCUAAUUUGCUUAUGGCUUAUGAAUUUUGUAGGUAUAUUAGAUCAGUUUUACAAACAUUGCUGCUCCUCAUCAAACGACUUCCGCCAAAGGUUAGAUAUGCUAUGCUGAAAAAACACUUGGCUCAUAUACUACCUUUAUUUCUUCUGUGAAGAUUCCACAACAAGCAAUCGGGGCAACUAUCAAGCAUCACAUUUGUCAAAAAAAUGGGUCUAAUGGAUCCCGCAGAAUCAGGGUCAAGCUCUAAUCUCAAUUUUGACAACCCA
This is a long non-coding RNA of Magnolia sinica, 370 nucleotides long. RefSeq lists it as uncharacterized. The record is from RefSeq and is a predicted model, not a curated record. NCBI's taxonomy places the organism in Eukaryota, Viridiplantae, Streptophyta, Magnoliopsida, Magnoliales, Magnoliaceae. The transcript is spliced from 3 exons.